ACACACCCAAGCAAGGGCUGCUGAAAGAAGAGGAGGAUGUGCUGUUCCCUGUGGAGCUGAUAAACAUCAGCGUAUUGUCCUGUCAGCAGUGGGGACAGAAUUCUUUUCCCCAGGUCAGCACUUCUUACCCAGCCCUCCUCUGAGCGACGCACAGAAGAGUUUGUGGAUUUCACGCACAGUUGUUUUGGACAACUGUGUCCCUGCCUGCCAAGUCCGAGGUCUUCAUGCUUAUAUGAUUUUUCUUGGAGCUGGCAUCCCUUCAGAUAUACUACAAGCCAGUCUCUGAUAAGAAACCAUCCUUCCUCUCCUGGAGAAAAUGAGUGAAUGAAUCUCCCAGAGCUACAGUGGUAAAGCCUGAGAUCUGUAGAGAGCAGGGAUUUCCAGAGCCUGCUACCAUUGAGCAUCACACUGAGUGGUCUGUGCCAUGCUGCUGGAGACUGAACCUCACAUCCAGAGCCCUACUUCACUCCUCAGCACAGGCUGAACAUACAGGUGGUGAAAUAACUCAGCUGCAGGCAACACACCUCACAGAUGAGUAAAAGUACUCUCAAGCCAUUGCCAUGCACAGCACAUGCUACAGGGUACUCCCAGGUUUGCAGAUGGAUCCAUGGCCACAUUUCUAUUUAAAGGAUGUCUCCUGAAUCUGGUGGGGGAGACAGCUGGUGUUCACAAGAAUGUGAUGAACAUUGUUGCUAGCACAAACAGUUCCACUGCUGUUCUCCAUCGUCUAGGUACUCAUUAAUUUCUUCUUGCCUUUGAAAGACUACACCCUCAGACCAUACUACUACAGUUUCAGAACUCUGCAAAAUUAAAACUAAUCUGUGGUUCUAAAUCUCCCUCACUGCGUAAACUUCUGGAUUGCUUUUUUUGUCCUCAAAAAAAGACCCCAGUUCCCCAAACAACUGGA
Long non-coding RNA from Cuculus canorus (common cuckoo), 907 nucleotides. RefSeq lists it as uncharacterized. The transcript is spliced from 4 exons. The record is from RefSeq and is a predicted model, not a curated record. NCBI's taxonomy places the organism in Eukaryota, Metazoa, Chordata, Aves, Cuculiformes, Cuculidae.